GUCGCCAUGCAUGUGCUACAGAACUCAUAUGCUCAAGGAGCUAACAAAUGGAGUAACAGACUAAAUUUAUUUCUGCAGUAAUUAUAUUUUUCAAAGUUAACCUCAUACAAGCAAAGAGUAGAACCGUGGUUGUCAGAAGCUGGGGAGACCGUGAGGAGGAAAGAAUGGGGAAAGAGUUUAUUCAUGAAUUUCUGAGAUACAGAGCAUCUCUCCUUAGCCUGAGCACUCUGAGAGGACAGAGAUUCUACUGAUCACCAUCAUAACGCGGAGUGUGAAAUGCCCACGUGGAUAAGAAUCCUUGACUCAUGGUCGAAGCCCAGUAAAUACUGGGGUUUACGUGACACCGGACCACGGCUGACACAAAGGAGGUGCUUAACGAGAUUUUUGCUCCAAUGAAUGGCAUUAACAUGUUUUAUAGCUGGCUUAUGCCUGCAGAAGAAGCUUAUGCCUUGAGAACUUUAGAAUAGCCUGUACUUGAUUCCCGGAGACAGCACAACGCACAACAGUUGCCAAGGAUUUUAUCCUUCUUUACACAGUCUAGUUCAGAAUAAAGCAGCUAACAAGAUUUUUUUAACACUUCAGACGUGAUUGUUCCUUAAGUAUUUUCUGCUUUGAAGAAUUACAUGCCAAAGUCUUAUUCUUAGCUACAGUAUUGCUUCUUUUGGUAUUAGGAUCCCAAUCUUCCACACACUUACAGAGAAAAGGUGAAAUAUUCAUUAUUGGGUUAUCAGCAAUAGUACAUAUAUGUUAUGUGAAAGAAACCAGACGCCACACACACUUAAAUAUUGAGAGAUUUCUCCCACGUGAGAAACCCAAAAUAUAGAUAGCAGAAUAACAGAGAAUUCCUAGGAAGCAGGGAGAGAGAGCUCCUGAAAGAGGGAAAGGGACCAAGAGGGUGGAGUGAGGGAAGCGUCGGGAGGGUGACAGAAAGCAGAAGUGAGAAGUGUUCCGCACAUGUGCCGGUUUUCCGUGAGGAAUGCAAUCGCUAUGUUCUCCAAACAUGUACAAACAGAACUAAAAGUGGAAAAGCAAAUAUUUACAGAAAUGACUUUCCACGCUCGAUUACUACGACUUAAAGGUGGCCUAAAUCUUCUGUGGACACAAUAUUUUGUUCGUAGAGUUGCUAGUGACUGUAAUUAGAUUUUAAUAAAAUUGUGACCAGAACAAGGAGAAGCAAUUAUUGGAGUGAGCCCUGCCUUGGCCUUAGAGGUGGACAGAGCCCCGAGAAGGCAGCGAUCAGAAUCCUCAGCAGACGGAAGGAGUUCAUUC
Molecule: long non-coding RNA, 1269 nt
Organism: Fukomys damarensis (Damara mole-rat)
Lineage: Eukaryota; Metazoa; Chordata; Mammalia; Rodentia; Bathyergidae
Exons: 3
Source: RefSeq, a predicted model, not a curated record